CGAACCGUCCAAACGUUAUUCGGAAUCACUGGGCUUACAGAGCUCGUAGGCGGUCUGGAAAGUUGGGUGUGAAAUCCCUCGGCCUAACCGAGGAACUGCGCUUGAAACUACCAGACUCGAGGGAGAUAGAGGAAAGCGGAACUGAUGGUGGAGCGGUGAAAUGCGUUGAUAUCAUCAGGAACACCGGUGGCGAAGGCGGCUUUCUGGGUCUUACCUGACGCUGAGGAACGAAAGGCCAGGGGAGCGAACGGGAUUAGAUACCCCGGUAGUCCUGGCCGUAAACGAUGAGCACUAGGUCGUGGGCCUCCACAGGCCCUCGGCCGUAGCGAAAGUGUUAAGUGCUCCGCCUGGGGAGUAUGGUCGCAAGGCUG
RNAcentral lists this ribosomal RNA (371 nucleotides) under uncultured organism. RNAcentral's name for it is "bacterial SSU rRNA". It matches the Rfam family "Bacterial small subunit ribosomal RNA", at positions 526 to 896 of the family's 1533-position model. The record is from RNAcentral.